This is an RNA transcript of Ailuropoda melanoleuca (giant panda), 370 nucleotides long. RefSeq lists it as uncharacterized. Lineage: Eukaryota; Metazoa; Chordata; Mammalia; Carnivora; Ursidae. The transcript has 4 exons. The record is from RefSeq and is a predicted model, not a curated record.
CUGUGACCUUCAAGGAUAUAGCUGUAGACUUCACCCAGGAAGAAUGGGCCCUGCUGGACACAUCCCAGAGAAAGCUGUACAGAGAUGUGAUGCUGGAGAACAUCAGUCAUCUGGUCUCUGUGGGGUAUCAUCUCUGCAAAUCAGAUGUGAUUUCCCAGUUGGAACAAGGAGUGGAGCUGUGGAGGGAGGAAGAAGGAUUUCUCCAAGGCCUGAAUCCAGACAGGAAAAGUGGCCUUAAGAGACAAGAAGACAUCUGCAGAAAGGACCCAUCUAAUUGCAUGUCAAUGACAUGAUUGUGGUCACCCUAUCAUUGAAUCCUGCUGUUUUGAAAUCUGAGGGUUCCUACUGUUUUGAAAUCUGAGGGUUCCCA